This 728-nucleotide ribosomal RNA is filed under the name Eulimnogammarus verrucosus. Its description in RNAcentral is "bacterial SSU rRNA". It matches the Rfam family "Eukaryotic small subunit ribosomal RNA", at positions 1255 to 1828 of the family's 1831-position model. The record is from RNAcentral. Lineage: Eukaryota; Metazoa; Arthropoda; Malacostraca; Amphipoda; Eulimnogammaridae.
CUCUUUCUCGAUUCAGUGGAUGGUGGUGCAUGGCCGUUCUUAGUUGGUGGAGUGAUCUGUCUGGUUAAUUCCGAUAACGAACGAGACUCUCCCCUGCUAACUAGUCGGUUGGAUCUUGAUCAGUGGGUUGAGUGCCGAGUAACUCUCGCUGUGCGUGUUGUAUGUCGCGUUCCUCACGGUUCGUUGCGUGCUCAUGUGUGGCGUUGGAUGCCUUGGAUCACACUGCACCCCAAGUCCGCCGCUUUGCUAUAACUCUUCUUAGAGGGAUUCACGGCACUGAAGCCGUAAGAGACUGAGAGCAAUAACAGGUCUGUGAUGCCCUUAGAUGCUCUGGGCCGCACGCGCGCUACAAUGCCGGGCACAGCAGGUGUUUCUCCUGCUCCGACAGGAGCGGGUAACCCUCUGAAAGCCAGUGUUCUUGCAAGUGCUUCCUCCUUCGUGGAGUUGCACAGAGGCGUGCUUGGGCCUGGGACUUGCAAUUCUUUCCCACCAACGAGGAAUGCCUAGUAGCGGCGGGUCACUGAGCCCGCUGUGACUCAGUCCCUGCCCUUUGUACACACCGCCCGUCGCUACUACCGAUUGGGUGUACCAGUGAGAGCCUUGGACUGGCGUCCGUUGUUGCUCGCAAGAGUGACAAGCGGGUCCGACGGAAAGAGGUCCGAACUGGUGCACUUAGAGGAAGUAAAAGUCGUAACAAGGUUUCCGUAGGUGAACCUGCGGAAGGAUCA